GACGAACGCUGGCGGCGUGCUUAACACAUGCAAGUCGAACGGUAAGGCUCCAGCUUGCUGGGGUACACGAGUGGCGAACGGGUGAGUAACACGUGGGUGACCUGCCCUGCACUUCGGGAUAAGCCUGGGAAACUGGGUCUAAUACCGGAUAGGACCAUGGUGUGGAUACUGUGGGUGAAAGUUUUUUCGGGGUGGGAUGGGCCCGCGGCCUAUCAGCUUGUUGGUGGGGUAGUGGCCUACCAAGGCGGCGACGGGUAGCCGGCCUGAGAGGGUGGACGGCCACAUUGGGACUGAGACACGGCCCAGACUCCUACGGGAGGCAGCAGUGGGGAAUAUUGCACAAUGGGCGGAAGCCUGAUGCAGCGACGCCGCGUGGGGGAUGACGGCCUUCGGGUUGUAAACUCCUUUCGCCAUCGACGAAGGGUUUCUGACGGUAGAUGGAGAAGAAGCACCGGCUAACUACGUG
Molecule: ribosomal RNA, 466 nt
Filed under: uncultured bacterium
Lineage: Bacteria
Description: partial 16S ribosomal RNA
Rfam family: Bacterial small subunit ribosomal RNA
Source: RNAcentral